Molecule: long non-coding RNA, 542 nt
Organism: Mus musculus (house mouse)
Lineage: Eukaryota; Metazoa; Chordata; Mammalia; Rodentia; Muridae
Product: predicted gene, 38727
Exons: 3
Source: RefSeq, a predicted model, not a curated record
AUUAACUAAGAUGAAAAAGCACUUGUGGCACCGGGAUCUGAUUUAGCUCUAGAAACUGCAUAGAAAGGCCGGACAUGGAGGUAUGUGUCUAUAAUUCCAACACUGGACAAGCAGAGAGGAACAUCCCUGCGACUUACUGGCUAGCCAGCCUAGCUGAACUGGCUUUUGACAGAUACCGAGCUGGUGGCCACAGGUUCUGACAGUGUGGGGUGAAGACAGUAAGAGUCCCCUUCCAGCCAGACCAACAGGCAAUAAGGAUAAGAAGAACGGAGAGAAUACAUCCCUAGGAGAAGAGACGUCAAGAAGCCCAGGAGUCUUGGAGAUUUAGGGCCUCCUGCCUGAUGGAUAAGAUGGGAGUUUACUAUGCAGCUGUGGAUAGACUGGAAUUCCCUAUGGAGACCAGGCUGGCCUUGAACUCACAGGGAGCCACGUAUCUCUGCUUCCCAAGUGCUGGGAACAGAGGCACACACCGUCAUGUAGGUAAUAAUUUAUUUGAAAUCAGAAAAAGAGGGAAAUAAAGAAAAAAAUGCUGGAAUCAUGAC